RNAcentral lists this ribosomal RNA (254 nucleotides) under uncultured bacterium. RNAcentral describes it as "partial 16S ribosomal RNA". It matches the Rfam family "Bacterial small subunit ribosomal RNA", at positions 524 to 776 of the family's 1533-position model. The record is from RNAcentral. RNAcentral also lists the same sequence under 1 other name.
CACGUAGGGGGCGAGCGUUGUCCGGAUUUAUUGGGCGUAAAGAGCUCGUAGGCGGCUCGGUAAGUCGGGUGUGAAACCUCCAGGCUCAACCUGGAGACGCCACUCGAUACUGCCGUGGCUAGAGUCCGGUAGAGGAGCGUAGAAUUCCUGGUGUAGCGGUGAAAUGCGCAGAUAUCAGGAGGAAUACCAGCGGCGAAGGCGGCGCUCUGGGCCGGAACUGACGCUGAGGAGCGAAAGCGUGGGGAGCAAACAGG